Molecule: ribosomal RNA, 322 nt
Filed under: uncultured eukaryote
Lineage: Eukaryota
Description: partial 18S ribosomal RNA
Rfam family: Eukaryotic small subunit ribosomal RNA
Source: RNAcentral
CCCUUAGAUGUUCUGGGCCGCACGCGUGCUACACUGAGUGGAUCAGCGGGUCAGGUUGCGCGAAAGUGUUUCCUAAUCUUUAAAUCCGCUCGUGAUGGGGAUUGACGGUUGCAAUUUUCCGUCAUGAACGAGGAAUACCUUGUAAGCGCGAGUCAUCAUCCCGCGCUGAAUACGUCCCUGCCCUUUGUACACGCCGCCCGUCGCUCCUACCGAUUGAGUGGUCCGGUGAGGCUUUGGGAUCUGAGCGGAAAGAGCGUUUCGCUGUUUCUGCCCGGAAAACUCAGUCGAACCUUAUCAUUUAGAGGAAGGAGAAGUCGUAACA